RNAcentral lists this long non-coding RNA (200 nucleotides) under Lathyrus oleraceus (garden pea). Its description in RNAcentral is "Pisum sativum (pea) long non-coding RNA (PSAT_LNC014249)". The record is from RNAcentral. Lineage: Eukaryota; Viridiplantae; Streptophyta; Magnoliopsida; Fabales; Fabaceae.
UUCUCAUCAUUUCCUAUACAAGCUACUGAGCUAUGGCACGACUGGAGUCAUCCCUUGCUAAAUAUUCAUCUCAAGGAGUCUUCAAAUCACUCUUAGGUUUAUAUUUAUUUUUUAGUAUUUGUUUAAGAAUGUAUCUUAUGAGAAUCAUGUUUAUAGCUUGUACUCAGCUUAGCAUGAGCUAAACCUUUUGUAUGUUGAGC